GAUGGGGUUGAUUGCUAUAAUACCACCAAAGAUCUUUUUUCACAGGUCAAAAGGAUUUGGAAAGCUGUCCAAUUGUGACCGUCUAAAAGGCAAGAGAGUUGGGCUCAGUGCAACACUUAAUCCAGAGGUUAGGCUUUUAUCUGUCUUUUGUGGGGUUGAAAGAAGCAGCAAAGUGUCUUAGAAUGAGGCCUAACUCACAGCAAAAGACAAGACUCCACUUUUCAGAAGCUGAGUGGAGCCGAGUCCCAUUUGGUGAUUUGAUUUCUGAUCCAUGGCAAAAUCAACAACUAAAGAAAAUGGACAAAUAAUAGUUAAAAUACUUAUGAAUCAGUCAUGAGAGGAGAAAAAAACAACAUAAGAGUAAUGCUACCUUCAUGAAGAAAAGGUAGCAUUCUACAAUGUUUUCUUUAUUCCCAUGCAGAUAGAUUUUUGCAUGAUCUAACAAUUCCCAGUGCAGAAGGUGACCAGGAUGUUGAUCUUCACAGCUGAACCUUUUCUUUUAUUGCCCGAUGAGGCGUUCCCCAGUUAAGUUAGAAGCACUUUUGAAGAAGGCCACUAUCCCAGCGGGCAUCACUAAAUCUGCAGACGGCGGCACAAGGCGUUUACUUCUGCCUUUGUUACACAAUAUAAAACUUCAAAGGUUGAAUCACUUCAAACCUGGUUUACCUUCAGUAAAUUGAACUGCAUUGUAUGAGAUAGAAUAAUUUUAAAGUGCCAAACUGUUUGUUUUUUUUAUCUAUGUGUCUGCAAUGAUGGUCAGUUUGUCAAGAUAUGCAUCAUAUUAUGUGCAUGCGAGUCAUGAUAUGCAYAAUCCUAACC
Molecule: non-coding RNA, 819 nt
Organism: Poecilia reticulata (guppy)
Lineage: Eukaryota; Metazoa; Chordata; Actinopteri; Cyprinodontiformes; Poeciliidae
Source: RefSeq, a predicted model, not a curated record